Molecule: ribosomal RNA, 467 nt
Filed under: uncultured bacterium
Lineage: Bacteria
Description: bacterial SSU rRNA
Rfam family: Bacterial small subunit ribosomal RNA
Source: RNAcentral
CCUACGGGAGGCUGCAGUGGGGAGGCUUCCACAAUGGGGGAAACCCUGAUGGAGCGACGCCGCGUGGGUGAUGAAGGUCUUCGGAUCGUAAAGCCCUUUCAGUAAGGAUGAAGUUAUCCUGUGCUAAUACCAUGGGGUAAAAGACGGUACUUACAGAAGAAGCUCCGGCUAACUCCGUGCCAGCAGCCGCGGUAAGACGGAGGGAGCAAGCGUUGUUCGGAUUUACUGGGCGUAAAGGGCGUCUAGGCUGAUUUGAAAGUCAGAUGUGAAACCCCUCGGCUUAACCGGGGACCUGCAUUUGAUACUUCAAGUCUUGAGUACGGAAGAGGAGAGCGGAAUUCCUGGUGUAGCGGUGAAAUGCGUAGAUAUCAGGAAGAACACCGGUGGCGAAGGCGGCUCUCUGGUCCGAUACUGACGCUGAAGCGCGAAAGUGUGGGGAGCGAACAGGAUUAGAUACCCCGGUAGUC